RNAcentral lists this unclassified non-coding RNA (250 nucleotides) under Hevea brasiliensis (rubber tree). The record is from RNAcentral. Lineage: Eukaryota; Viridiplantae; Streptophyta; Magnoliopsida; Malpighiales; Euphorbiaceae.
GGAAAUGUCUCGGUCAUGGGACAUUGUUGGUGUUGACUUAAUUAGUGGUGUUUCAUGCAAAUCACCUUAUGAAUGGGUGGAUAGAACAGAUUUGGAAUGGGAGUUCAAAUCUGGAGGGUACAGUUCAGAGACCUUUCAUGUUGUGGCAUAUGAUUUUGGAAUCAAGAGUAACAUACUUAGGCGCUUGGCGUCUUAUGGAUGCAAAAUUACUGUUGUCCCUUCUACAUGGGCUGCAUCAGAGACCUUAAAG